CCUACGGGAGGCAGCAGUGGGGAAUAUUGCACAAUGGGGGAAACCCUGAUGCAGCGACGCCGCGUGAGUGAAGAAGUAAUUCGUUAUGUAAAGCUCUGUCAGCAGGGAAGAAAAUGACGGUACCUGAGUAAGAGGCCCCUGCUAACUACGUGCCAGCAGCCGCGGUCAUACGUAGGGGGCAAGCGUUAUCCGGAUUUACUGGGUGUAAAGGGAGCGUAGACGGCAGUGCAAGUCUGGAGUGAAAGGCGGGGGCUCAACCCCCGGACUGCUCUGGAAACUGUACGGCUGGAGUGCAGGAGAGGUAAGUGGAAUUCCUAGUGUAGCGGUGAAAUGCGUAGAUAUUAGGAGGAACACCAGUGGCGAAGGCGGCUUACUGGACUGUAACUGACGUUGAGGCGCGAAAGCGUGGGGAGCAAACAGGAUUAGAUACCCUAGUAGUC
This 440-nucleotide ribosomal RNA is filed under the name uncultured bacterium. RNAcentral describes it as "partial 16S ribosomal RNA". It matches the Rfam family "Bacterial small subunit ribosomal RNA", at positions 338 to 795 of the family's 1533-position model. The record is from RNAcentral.